CUUGAUAUUGGCACAAGAACAAUGAAAGGAGAUCUUGUGAAGUUUCUCAUGAAGUGUUAUGAUCCAGAGUUGUCGCAGCUUGUUAUCCCAGAUAGGGGGAAGAUUCCAGUUGAUGCAGCAAGCAUAGAAAGAAUCUGGGGUUUGCCAAGGGGACAGAGGAAGGUUGCAUAUGAAGUGGAGCCAGACGUAGUUAGGUUGUUCAAUGAGACGUUCAACAUCCCGACAAGGCCCGUGCCAACAGUGACCGAGUGGUGCAAAAUGAUAAAUGAUAUGGGAGUUGUUGCGGACGACAAGUUCUUAAGUGCCUGGCUAAUUGUUGUUUAUAGCUGUUUUCUUGCACCGACCACCAGCUUGAAGGUGUCCCCGCGCGCAUACUCAGUUGCGCAGAAUCCACGUGAGGUUGUGAAUUCAAAUGUUUGCCAGUUUUUCGUCGACCAACUUAGGCUUGCUUUCAUGGGUUUUGGAGACAAGAAGAAUACUAUAUGCUGCUGCCUUUUUCACCUAGUGGUAAAAUGA
Molecule: ribosomal RNA, 516 nt
Filed under: Triticum aestivum (bread wheat)
Lineage: Eukaryota; Viridiplantae; Streptophyta; Magnoliopsida; Poales; Poaceae
Description: partial small subunit ribosomal RNA
Source: RNAcentral